UAUCUCUGUAGAGUCUGCAUAUCAAUAAGCGGAGGAAAAGAAACUAACAAGGAUUCCCUUAGUAACGGCGAGUGAAGCGGGAAGAGCUCAAAUUUGAAAUCUUCAAGGUUCUACCUUGACGAAUUGUAGUUUAAAGAAGUGUUUUCUGUUGAGAGUUGAGUAGCAAAAGUUCCUUGGAAUAGGGACAUCAUAGAGGGUGAGAAUCCCGUAUUUGACUUAUUCAUUCUAGCUUUGUGAUACACUUUCAAAGAGUCGGAUUGUUUGGGAAUGCAGUCCAAAAUGGGUGGUAAAUUUCAUCUAAAGCUAAAUACUGGCGAGAGACCGAUAGCGAACAAGUACCGUGAGGGAAAGAUGAAAAGAACUUUGAAAAGAGAGUUAAACAGUACGUGAAAUUGUCAAAAGGGAAGCGUUUGACACCAGUGUUGUUUUCUCGAAAAUCAAUUAAAAAAAGGUUGGAUUUUGUAGUUGUUAUGACCUUAUCAGCUUACUGUCACUCUUUUCUUGUCUUUUUUUAAUGCACUUUUCGUUUAACAAGUCAAUCAUCAAUUUCUUUUGUUGUAAAAGGAGUCAUUGGAAGGUGGCUUUCACUUUCGGAUGAAAGUGUUUAUAGCCUUUGGCCUUCUGCAAUCGGAGAGAUUGAGGUCUGCAGCGUAGAUCCUUCGGGGCUAGAUACAUUAGAUGCUAAGUUAAUACGUUUUUAUAGACAACUUGUUGACUAUAUUAGAUCAUGUAGCUUACUCGCUUAUGCGCUAAUUUUACCUACGCUUAGGAUGUUGAAGAUGUAGCACAUCAU
Molecule: ribosomal RNA, 793 nt
Filed under: uncultured Neocallimastigales
Lineage: Eukaryota; Fungi; Neocallimastigomycota; Neocallimastigomycetes; Neocallimastigales
Description: partial large subunit ribosomal RNA
Rfam family: Eukaryotic large subunit ribosomal RNA
Source: RNAcentral